CCUACGGGAGGCAGCAGUGGGGGAUAUUGGACAAUGGGGGAAACCCUGAUCCAGCGACGCCGCGUGAGUGAAGAAGUAUUUCGGUAUGUAAAGCCCUGUCAGCAGGGAAGAAAGAAAUGACGGUACCUGACCAAGAAGCCCUGGCUAACUACGUGCCAGCAGCCGCGGUCAUACGUAGGGGGCAAGCGUUAUCCGGAAUUACUGGGUGUAAAGGGAGCGUAGACGGUGAUGCAAGGCUGGAGUGAAAGGCGGGGGCCCAACCCCCGGACUGCUCUGGAAACUGUGUAACUUGAGUGCCGGAGAGGUAAGCGGAAUUCCUGGUGUAGCGGUGAAAUGCGUAGAUAUUAGGAAGAACACCAGUGGCGAAGGCAGCUUACUGGACUGUAACUGACGUUGAGGCUCGAAAGCGUGGGGAGCGAACAGGAUUAGAUACCCGGGUAGUC
Molecule: ribosomal RNA, 443 nt
Filed under: uncultured bacterium
Lineage: Bacteria
Description: partial 16S ribosomal RNA
Rfam family: Bacterial small subunit ribosomal RNA
Source: RNAcentral